RNAcentral lists this long non-coding RNA (241 nucleotides) under Prunus persica (peach). RNAcentral describes it as "long non-coding RNA (PPER_LNC007242)". The record is from RNAcentral. Lineage: Eukaryota; Viridiplantae; Streptophyta; Magnoliopsida; Rosales; Rosaceae.
UCCGUAUAUCGAUCAAUUAUACGGUUCAUGAAACGACCGUCCCUAACCAACUGAUCAUGCUCCAGUGGUUGUCCAUUUGCUCCCAUGAGCCUUUCAUAAAUUCUUGCCAAGGCCGUGUUCAUGGGAUUCGGUUCGAACACGUCUGGAGCAUCAUAAUCAUACUCAUCCUCCACAAUUAUGUUAUGGAGGAUGAUGUACGUCAUCAUAAUGCUCCUCAGCACCUUCUUAUCAAACAUACGCG